CAGUGGCCGCUUUACGGUCCCCAGUGCCUCAGGCUCUGCAGGCAUCUCCCUGUAAUUCUGGACCGCUGCUCCUGCCGCUCCCCGAACUCACUCCGCUGCGAAAACAAAUGUCGACAAAUUUGCCUCGGUGGUUGGAGAAAGAAAAGCUCAUAGGCCGGGCGCGGUGGCUCACAACUGUAAUCCCAGCACUUUGGGAGGCCGAGGCGGACAGAUCCCCUGAGGUCAGGAGCUCAAGACCAGCCUGGCCAACAUGGUGGUGUUCCCACUGAUGAAGAGCAGGCGACUGGGUUGGAGAGGGAGAUCAUGCUGGCUGCAAAGAAGGGACUGGACCCAUACAAUGUACUGGCCCCAAAGGGAGCUUCAGGCACCAGGGAAGACCCUAAUUUAGUCCCCUCCAUCUCCAACAAGAGAAUAGUAGGCUGCAUCUGUGAAGAGGACAAUACCAGCGUCGUCUGGUUUUGGCUGCACAAAGGCGAGGCCCAGCGAUGCCCCCGCUGUGGAGCCCAUUACAAGCUGGUGCCCCAGCAGCUGGCACACUGAGCACCUGCACUAAAUUACUCAAAAUGUGCUGUAAAGUUUCUUCUUUCCAGUAAAGACUAGCCAUUGCAUUG
This 611-nucleotide unclassified non-coding RNA is filed under the name Homo sapiens (human). Its description in RNAcentral is "cytochrome c oxidase subunit 5B (ENSG00000291596.1)". The record is from RNAcentral. Lineage: Eukaryota; Metazoa; Chordata; Mammalia; Primates; Hominidae.